CACCAUGUGUUUCUCAUUCCCAUCAUUCAAAGGAAUUGAGACAAGAUCUUCCAUUGGCCCGUCCUGUUCUUCUGUCAGGUCAUCAUGGGUAUCCAAUCCAUCAACCGGACAGGGGUCAGGCUGACAACUUCUUUGCGGGGCUAUAUUAUAGCAAUGCCUUGCCAGAGCUUGAUCUCCCUUGACUUAUCCGACCCCCUGGUUAGUAGAAAAUUUCAAUUUCAAAUGGUAGGUUGAUACUAUAGCCCGGAGGGCAUUGAGGUCAGGUCGGUCGAAAAUUGCGUUGCAGGCUGACGGCGCCUUCACCAUCAGGAAAUCCACAAG
RNAcentral lists this long non-coding RNA (321 nucleotides) under Elaeis guineensis (African oil palm). Its description in RNAcentral is "long non-coding RNA (EGUI_LNC074698)". Lineage: Eukaryota; Viridiplantae; Streptophyta; Magnoliopsida; Arecales; Arecaceae. The record is from RNAcentral.